Molecule: long non-coding RNA, 219 nt
Organism: Cyprinus carpio (common carp)
Lineage: Eukaryota; Metazoa; Chordata; Actinopteri; Cypriniformes; Cyprinidae
Source: Ensembl
AGAAAGAAACAUGUAAGACUCAGUGAUUCUAGCACACGGCUAUAAGGUCCGGGCUUCUUCAGAGCUCUGAGAACAGCCAAACAGCAGAACAGGUUUAUGGCGAGGAAGAUUAUGAAGUGUAUCAGGUACAGGCAUUUAAAAACACGUACAUUACACGGAUGAACAAGUUCCAGUGAAAACACAUUACAUAUAAUGAUCAUUAUCCAGGUAACAAUAGAG